ACGAACGCUGGCGGCAGGCUUAACACAUGCAAGUCGAACGAAGUCUUCGGACUUAGUGGCGCACGGGUGAGUAACACGUGGGAAUAUACCUUUCGGUGGGGGAUAACGUCGGGAAACUGACGCUAAUACCGCAUACGCCCCUUGGGGGAAAGAUUUAUCGCCGAGAGAUUAGCCCGCGUCCGAUUAGCUAGUUGGUGAGGUAACGGCUCACCAAGGCGACGAUCGGUAGCUGGUCUGAGAGGAUGAUCAGCCACACUGGGACUGAGACACGGCCCAGACUCCUACGGGAGGCAGCAGUGGGGAAUAUUGGACAAUGGGCGCAAGCCUGAUCCAGCCAUGCCGCGUGAGUGAUGAAGGCCUUAGGGUUGUAAAGCUCUUUCGACGGGGACGAUGAUGACGGUACCCGUAGAAGAAGCCCCGGCUAACUUCGU
RNAcentral lists this ribosomal RNA (431 nucleotides) under uncultured bacterium. RNAcentral's name for it is "bacterial SSU rRNA". It matches the Rfam family "Bacterial small subunit ribosomal RNA", at positions 29 to 506 of the family's 1533-position model. The record is from RNAcentral.